GCGAGCCGUGAGAUGCGUGGUCCACCAUCGGUGACCUCACCGCCUCGGUUCGCCCUCAGCCGCCCCGAUUGGCCAUCUGCAAGCUUCCCUUCUCCGUGGAGAGCAGGAAGACAGUCAUGGGACCUCAGGGAGCCAGGAGACAGGCUUUCUUGGCAUUUGGGGAUGUCACUGUGGAUUUCACCCAGAAGGAAUGGAGGCUGCUGAGCCCUGCUCAGAGGGCCCUGUACAGGGAGGUGACACUGGAGAACUACAGCCACCUGGUCUCACUAGGAAUAUAUGCAGAACAUGUCCUGCGGCCCAAGAAUCUUGGACUUGCACAUCAGAGGCAACAGCAACUACAAUUUUCUGAUCAAAGCUUCCAGAGUGACACAGCUGAAGGUCAAGAGAAAGAAAAAAGCACUAAGCCCAUGGCAUUUUCCAGCCCACCCCUAAGACAUGCAGUAAGCUCAAGGAGGAGGAACAGUGUAGUGGAAAUAGAGUCUAGUCAAGGCCAGAGGGAAAAUCCUACAGAAAUAGACAAAGUAUUGAAAGGAAUAGAAAAUUCAAGAUGGGGAGCAUUCAAGUGUGCAGAGCGUGGGCAAGACUUCAGCCGGAAGAUGAUGGUAAUCAUACACAAAAAAGCACAUUCCAGGCAGAAACUUUUUACAUGCAGGGAGUGUCACCAGGGCUUUAGAGAUGAGUCAGCAUUGCUCUUGCACCAGAACACACACACAGGAGAGAAGUCCUAUGUGUGCAGUGUGUGUGGGCGAGGCUUCAGCCUCAAGGCCAACCUCCUCAGACACCAGAGGACACACUCAGGAGAGAAGCCUUUUCUGUGCAAGGUGUGUGGACGAGGCUAUACCAGUAAGUCAUACCUCACUGUGCAUGAGAGAACACACACAGGAGAGAAGCCUUAUGAAUGCCAGGAGUGUGGGCGAAGGUUUAACGAUAAGUCCUCAUACAACAAGCACUUGAAGGCGCAUUCAGGGGAGAAGCCUUUUGUGUGCAAGGAGUGUGGGCGAGGCUAUACUAAUAAGUCAUACUUCGUUGUGCACAAGAGAAUACACUCAGGAGAGAAGCCUUACAGAUGCCAGGAGUGUGGCCGAGGCUUUAGCAAUAAGUCACACCUUAUCACACACCAGAGGACACACUCAGGGGAGAAGCCCUUUGCGUGCAGGCAGUGUAAGCAAAGUUUUAGCGUGAAAGGAAGUCUCCUCAGACACCAGAGAACACACUCAGGGGAGAAGCCUUUUGUGUGCAAGGAUUGUGAGCGAAGCUUUAGCCAAAAGUCAACUCUUGUCUACCACCAGAGAACACACUCAGGGGAGAAACCUUUUGUUUGUAGAGAAUGUGGGCAAGGAUUUAUUCAGAAGUCAACCCUUGUGAAACAUCAGAUCACACACUCAGAGGAGAAGCCUUUUGUGUGCAAGGACUGUGGACGAGGCUUUAUCCAAAAGUCAACCUUCACUUUACACCAGAGGACACACUCAGAGGAGAAGCCUUAUGGAUGUCGGGAGUGUGGGCGAAGGUUUCGGGAUAAGUCCUCCUAUAACAAGCACCUGAGGGCACACUUGGGUGAGAAACGUUUUUUCUGCAGGGAUUGUGGGCGAGGCUUUACCUUGAAGCCAAAUCUCACCAUACAUCAGAGGACACACUCAGGAGAGAAGCCCUUCAUGUGCAAGCAGUGUGAGAAAAGUUU
RNAcentral lists this long non-coding RNA (1678 nucleotides) under Homo sapiens (human). RNAcentral's name for it is "long non-coding RNA NONHSAT189530.1". Lineage: Eukaryota; Metazoa; Chordata; Mammalia; Primates; Hominidae. The record is from RNAcentral.